RNAcentral lists this long non-coding RNA (2797 nucleotides) under Nicotiana benthamiana. Its description in RNAcentral is "long non-coding RNA (NBEN_LNC005677)". Lineage: Eukaryota; Viridiplantae; Streptophyta; Magnoliopsida; Solanales; Solanaceae. The record is from RNAcentral.
AAGGGGUUGACAACCCUUGACAUAAGACAAACUCUUAGUGCAAUGAUUAAGGGGUGUCAAAAAUUACAGAAGGUUGCAAGUUUCAUUCCCCAUAGUAGCAAUUUUUUUUGACACCCCUUUGUAUAAUUUCUGGCUCCGCCACUGCUACUUCUCUUUCGACAAACCAUAAAACCAGAACCAAAAGAGAUGGCCUCCUUCACAUAUUCAUUUGGCAGUCACUUCAUAAAUCGUGAAUCUGAUUUUAGUGGUCAAUGAAGUGAGACGAGAACCAUAAGGUCUCAAAUUCAAAUCUUAUCGAAAUCGCAUUCCGACCCCGAUAUCGCAUAAGUCAAUUAUGGGUCAAGCUUCUUCAUAUUUCCAACUUCAACUUUUUUCCAAUUUCCGCUAAAAUGGCUCAAAUUCUACGGACCACCAAAUCUGAAUCCAGACGCGCGCCUAAGUCCAAAAUCACCAUAAGAAGUUGUUGAGAUUAUCCGCAACCCAUUCCGGGUCCGUUUACCCAAAGUCCAAUUCCAAUCAGCUUUUCACCGUUCAAACUUCCAUAACUAAAUUCCUUCUUCCAAUUUGACUCUAAACCAUCCAUAAACUGAAUUCCACCAUGCACGCAAGUCGAUACUCAUAUUCUGAAGCUGUUCGAGACCUUACGCCGUUAAACGAAGCUUAAUUUCUCAAAACGACCGAUCGGGUCGUUACAUCCUCCCCCUCUUAAAACCAAUAUUCGUCCUUAAACGUGCUAAGAUUCGCCUUGAAAUCCUCAAGCAACUGAGUACACACUUCCAACAUACACCCGCGGGUGAUCCCACGUCACCCCAAUCCACAUAAGCAUGGCGACAACAUCUCAACUGAAAUUUAGCCUUUCUAGCAAUAUCAAAAAACCUUCAAGCCAGAAUUCUCACAGACUCAAACUAUAUUUGGAAAAUGCUAUCAAAUAAAAAGUAGGACAAGUCCUUGCUACUUGUAACACUGGAAAAGGUCAACUUUAAAAGUAUGGAGCAGUCAAAUAUAGAACACACAUAGAUUUAUCUCCAUAACACACUAUAAGAGAAUCAAUAUCUAACAGCAUCGCAAGUAGUGUGACAUAAGUCAUAUCCUAUAGUAUUCAAUUCCAUGCACAUCAUACAACAACAACUCAAUAUAAUCCCACUUAGUGGGGUUUGGGAAGGGUAGUGUGUACGCAGACCUUACCCCUACCCUGGGGUAGAGAGGCUGUUUUUAAAAUAUCUUUAAUCUUUAGCCACUGCUUUAAUAACUUUAACUUCCCGGACGAAACUACAAUUCUGCUCAUGUCCUUAACUUUUGAACUUAACUUCAGCACUUCAGAAAAACAUGUCAUUGAUUUUGAACUUGUAACUCUAAGUUUAGGACUUCAGAACUGCAUUUCCUUAACUUUUGAACUUGUAACUGUAAGUUCAUGACCAAGUGUCCUUAACUUUUGAGCUUGUUAGUCUAAGUCAACAACAACAACCCAGUAUAAUCCCACUUAGUGGGGUCUGGGAAGCGUAGUGUGUACGCAGACCUUACCCCUAUCCUUGGGUAGAGAGGCUGUUUCCAAAUAGACCCCCGUCAUCCUUCUCUCCAAGAAUUUCCCACCUUGCUCUUGGGAAAACUCGAACUCACAACCUCUCGAUUGGAAGUGGGGGUUGCUUACCAUCAGAGCAACCCCUCGGUUGGAGGUGGGGUUGCACAUCAUACUUUAGUGCAAAUCCUAGCUCCAAAAUAAGGCAGCCCCAUACUAGGGAAACAACAUAAAGACGGUUUCAUCAUUAGGGAUGUUGAAUUAUCAGAAGAAAAAAAUGCAAGGCUUUGAAAGUUGUUUGAAAAGACUUGAUUUCAUGAAGAACAUAAAUUAUUUAAGCUGAGUAAAAGACCUGACUCACAUGCUCUCCUUUUUGAACUUUUUACAAGUAUGACAGCAACAACAAUAACAACAAUUAUCCAAUAUAGUUCCAUAAAGUGGGGUCUGGGAGGGUAGAGCUGUUUCCAAUCGACUUAUUACAAGUAUGACCUUUUUUCUAAAUAUAUAAGAAAAGACAGAGUAGAAUGUUUGGGUGAAGUGAACAACGCUCAUAAGUGUAUAAAGUAGAGAUUAAAUAAAGAAAAAAUGCUCAUGUUCUACAAAUGAAAUACAUUGAAAAAUUUCUUAAAACUCAAUAUUUCAAAAGGAACAGAAUCCAUCUUCAAACUCAAAAUCCAAGUAAAUUCAACCUAAAAGAAGCCUUUUUAUACAAUUACUGAACUCAAGAUACCCAAUAUAAUAUCGAGCAUGCAAUCACAAUAACAACACCAAAAGGUCUAGAAUUUCAAAAAACGAAAAAAGAAAAAAACUUUCAGCUUACCUAAGAGAAAACUGAGAUAGGACCGUCAAGAUCGAGAAUUGAAAAAAUAUAGGAAUGAAACUUCAAAAACUUCGGACGGUUUGGAACAACGUACCCUCGUAAUGCUUUUCAAACUUCAUAUUUUCCUCAUUCCUUCUUUAGCUUCAGACCACUGUCGGUUCCUCUAGAUUGCAAAUGGGUCGGAAAAUUUGAGGUAAAAUUAGAGAAUACAUUUACCACAAAAAAAGGAAUUGAGAUUUGAACAUAUACUUGAUCGAAUCAAAAUUUGUAAUUAGGGUUUUUGAAUCUCUACCAUAUGGUUCAUAUUUUGUGAUUUGAGUAGAUAGAUUUGAGACAUUUGAGGUUUUCGACUGUAGAGAACAUUGAGAAUUUUACAGAGAAGAGGGAGCAAACAAGUGGUACUGCAGAAAGAAAUCGAGCAAAGAGACAUUUGAUAAGUUUGAGGUUUUUGAUUAAGAAAU